RNAcentral lists this ribosomal RNA (301 nucleotides) under uncultured bacterium. Its description in RNAcentral is "partial 16S ribosomal RNA". It matches the Rfam family "Bacterial small subunit ribosomal RNA", at positions 509 to 807 of the family's 1533-position model. The record is from RNAcentral.
CAGUCGCCACGGUAAUACGAAGGGUGCAAGCGUUAAUCGGAAUUACUGGGCGUAAAGCGUGCGUAGGCGGUGAGUUAAGUCUGCUGUGAAAUCCCCGGGCUCAACCUGGGAAUGGCAGUGGAUACUGGCUCGCUAGAGUGUGUCAGAGGGGGGUGGAAUUCCACGUGUAGCAGUGAAAUGCGUAGAUAUGUGGAGGAACACCGAUGGCGAAGGCAGCCCCCUGGGAUAACACUGACGCUCAUGCACGAAAGCGUGGGGAGCAAACAGGAUUAGAUACCCCGGUAGUCCCUGUCUCUUAUAC